This 4234-nucleotide long non-coding RNA is filed under the name Homo sapiens (human). RNAcentral's name for it is "non-protein coding CSE1L-AS1:9". Lineage: Eukaryota; Metazoa; Chordata; Mammalia; Primates; Hominidae. The record is from RNAcentral.
GCUCUUUGGCUCUGACCAUGCCAGCAGGCUUCACGGUUCUCGUUUUCCAAAGAGGAACACAGAUUCAGCGAGCGGCUGCUGGCUUCUGACCCAUUUUGAUGUCAGGGCUUGGCACGUAGGAGGUGUUCAAUGUUGAUCGAUCCAAGGUCGUGCACAUAGGGUCUAAGACGGAAGAGAACUUCCUGCCCCUCUUGGAGCUUCUAUUUUAGAGGGAGACACGGCCAGACAGGUCUCGAACUCCUGGCCUCAAGUGAUCCGCACACCUUGGCCUCCCAAAAUGCUGGGAUUCCAGGCGUGAGCCACCGCGCCUGGCCUGGAGCCAGGGCCCCAUAUUAUCUACCGCUGUCCAUCUGCUCUCCAGCACAUCAGAGCAGCCCUUCCCCUGUGUGAGAUUCCUCUCCAGGGCAAGACUUGAAGGGAGCAUCAAGGUUGCAGUGGAAGAAAUAAAUUGGAAGUGGAGCUGGGCAGUUAUUUAUUUAUUUAAAUAGAGACAAGGCCGAAUGCGAUGGCUCACACCCGUAAUCCCAGCACUUUAGGAGGCCGAGGUGGGUAGACGACCUGAGGUCAGGAGUUCAAGACCAGCCUGAUCAACAUGGCGAAAUCCCGUCUCUACUAAAACUACAAAAAUUACCUGGGCACGGUGACACGCACCUGUAGUCCCAGCUACUCAGGAGGCUGAGGCACAAGAAUUGCUUGAACCUGGGAGGCCAAAAUUGCAGUGAGCCAAGAUUGCACUACUGCACUCCAGCCUGGGCGACAGAGCCAGACUCCAUCUCAAAAAAUAUAUAUAUAUAAAUAAAAAAUAAAUAAAUAGAGACAAGUCUCACUGUGUUGCCCAGGCUGGUCUCGAACUCCUGGGCUGAAGCAAUCUGCCUGCCUUGGCCUCCCAGAGAGCUGGGGUUACAGGUGUGAGGCACGGUGCCAGGCUAGAUCUGGGCAAUGUUUAGGAGGCGGGCUCUAGAGCCAGGCUGCAGGGCUUCAAAUCCCUCUGAGUGUCCUAAGUCAAGUUUGUCAACCUCUCUGAGCCCGUACCCCUCUAUAAAAAGGAGGGAUGCUGGUGAUGAUGAUAAUAGUACCUACUUUACGGGGGUUAUUGUGCGAAUUAAUGGCUGAAGAAUGGUUGAAAUAGCAAGAGUCAAAAACAUGAUCAAUAUGGAAAGCCUAGCAGGAGAAAGUACUAAAGUUCAUUGAUGGGGAGAUGGGGAGGGGGACAGAUGGGGUCUCACCGUUUCCCAGGCUGGUCUCAAACUUCUGGCCUCAAGUGAUCCUCCUGCCUUAGCCUCCCAAAGUGUUGGGAUUAUAGGCAUGAGCCACUGUGCCCAGCCAUUAAAUUCUCCUUCUUUCCUCUUUUGGUGGAAGGGAAGGGAGAAGUGAGACUUUACCAGGAGUCCAUGGAAUGUGGCCCAAAGGCCAAGGACAGAGUACCUUCCAGGACUCUCUCAGAGGGCAGCAGGAGCCCAGGGCUGCUUUCUGCCUAUGACAGGUGUGCAGUAGAAGUGGGUCUUCAGAGGCUGGGCGCAGUGUCUCAGGCCUGUAAUCCUAGCACUUCGGGAGGCAGAGGCGGGCAAAUCACCUGAGGUCAGGAGUUUGAGACCAGCCUGGCCAACAUGGUGAAAGCCAGUCUCUACUAAAAAUACAAAAAUUAGCCAAGUAAUUUUUUUUUUUUUUUUUUUUUUUUGAGGAAUCUUGCUCUGUGGCCCAGGCUAGAGUGCAGUGGUGUGAUCUCAGCUCACUGCAACCUUGGCCUCCCAGGUUCAAGUGAUUCUUGUUCCUUAGCCUUCCAAGUAGCUGGGACUAUGGGACUACAGGUGUGUGUCACCAUGCCCAGCUAAUUUUUGUAUUUUUCGUAGAGACAGGGUUUUGCCACAUUGGCCAGGCUGGUCACAAACUCUUGACCUCUAGUGAUCUGCCCGCCUCAGCCUCCCAAAGUGCUGGGAUUACAGGUGUAAGCCACCACACCUGGCCCAUGCCUGAUAGUUUUGAUUCAUCAUGGAUAAUCUGUCAUUAAAAGAAAUUCAGGGCCAAGUCCAGUGGCUCAUGCCUGUAAAUUCCAGCACUUUAGGAGGCUGAGGUGGGAAGAUGACUUGGGCCUAGGAGUUUGAGACCAGCUGGGGCAACGUAGCAAGACCCUGUCUCUACAAUAAAAUUUAAAAAAAUUAGCUGGGCAUAGUGAGGUGUGCCUGUAGUCCCAGCUACUGGGGAGGCUGAGGCAGGAAGAUUGCUUGAGCCCAAGAAUUUGAGGCUGCAGUAAGCUAUGAUGGUGCCACUGCCACUGCACUCCAGCCUGGGAGCCACAGCAAGAUCCUGAAUCAAAAAGAAUUCAUCUGAGGGUUCACCAAGUUGCUGAUGAGUCUCUAGAAAGUACAAGGAGAAUCCUGGGUUUAGCCAUUGAGUCUCAGGAUGCAGGAAUCAAGAUCAUCACAAUACUGGAUAAACAAGGGGAACAACUCAACCACAUAGAAGACAUGGGCCACAAAAAUACAGACAUGAGAGAGGCAGAGAAGACUUUAACAGAACUUAACAAAUGCCAUGCCCUUCGUGUCUGUCCACAUAAUAGAACAAAGAACUUUGGAUGGCUUGGGCACGAGAAAUUGAGGCUGCAGUCAGCUGCAAUGAGGCCACUCACCCCAGCCUGGGUGACAAAGCAAGAUCACGUCUCUUAAAAAAAAAAAUUGGAAACAUUGACAAAGACAGCCAAGAAGAAGGAAGCUGUAGAAGUGUUUUUUGUUUGUGGUUUUUGUGGUGGAGGGAGGGACAAGAGAUAAGAGGUUAACCUCAGCAAAAACCUAGCUGGGCAUGGUGGCACGUGCCUGUAAUCCCAGCAUUUUGGGAGGCUGAGGUGGAAAGAUUGCUUUCUUUCCACCUGGGAUGUGGAAUCACACAUUCUAUGCACACCUAUGAAUCACUAAGACUUCAGAAGUUAAGCUCCCUUUAAGAAAACUCAUUCUUUUUGGAGCAGAGGUUGCAGAACUGUGAUCCCUAACAAAAAUACUGUGUAUAAAAGCUCCAAAACGAAGUAUUAGCUUAAAGUGGCAAUAACUACAACUUUAUAACCAACUAAAUCUUUACCGUGGCUAUGCAACUUUUUGCUUUGUGGCCAGAAGGUUUUUUUGGUUUUUGUUUUUUUGAGACAGGCUGUCACCCAGGCUGAAGUGCAGUGGCACAAACAAAGCUCACUGCAGCCUCGACCUCCUGGGCUCAAGCAGUCCUCCCCACCCCAGUCUCCUGGGUAGCUGGGACUACAGGCGUGUGCCACCACACUUGCUAUUAUUAUUUUGUAGAGAUAGGGUCUCACUACAUUCCCCAGAUUGGUCUCAAACUCCUGGCUUCUAGCAAUCCUCCCACCAUGCCAGACCCUAGACUUAAAAAGUUAGAAUUGGCUGGAUGUAGUGGCUUACACCUAUAAUCCCAAUACAUUGGGAGGCUGAGGUGGGAGGAUCACUUGAGCCCAGGAGCUGAAGACCAAUUUGGCCAACAUAGUGAGACCCCCAUCUCUAUUUUUAAAAAAAGUUAGAAUUUAUUGUGUUACUAAAAGUGAUUUGGAAAAUUAUACCUUUAGUUUAAUUAUUGGGGAAUUACACUGUCAGUCUCUUACCCUUGUGUAUAGAACUAUGUCCAGAAUCAAAUUUAUGUAGAUCCUAAACACUGUUAUGGGAAUCUGAUUAGUAUUUGUCACAUUGACUUAAAAAUUAGCAUCUCAGUUGGCGUGGUACUCACACCUGUAAUUUCAGCACUUUGGGAGGCCAAGGUGGGAGGAUCACUGAGGCCAGGAGUUCAAGACCAGCCUGGGCAACAUGGUGAAACCCCAACUCUACAAAAAAAUACAAAAAUUAGCCAGGCAAGGUGUCUCACUACUGGCCCUAUAGUUCCGGCUAAUCAGGAAGCUGAGGUGGGAGAAUUACUUGAACCAAGAAGGUUAAGGCUGCAGUGAGCUGUGAUUGCACCACUGCUCUCAGCCUGGGCUACAGGGCAAGACCCUGUCUCAAAAAUAAAUAAAUAAAUUAGCAUCUGAAUAUUUCAAAGCUGUCAAUGUGUACUGGCUGAACCAAUAGCCACUACUUGAUCCUUACAAUUACAUUUUGUAACUAGCAACAACAAAGUUAAUAGAUUCAAGAGGCAUAUAAAGAAUCUCAUGACUAGAAUUUUCCCCCUUUCAUUGGUGAGGGACAUAAACUGACCCAAAACUACGGCUUGAUAUAUGUUUUUUAAAUUACUACACAUUAGAAACAGCUAU